This 256-nucleotide ribosomal RNA is filed under the name uncultured bacterium. Its description in RNAcentral is "partial 16S ribosomal RNA". It matches the Rfam family "Bacterial small subunit ribosomal RNA", at positions 524 to 777 of the family's 1533-position model. The record is from RNAcentral.
UACGGGGGGGGGCAAGCGUUGUUCGGAAUUACUGGGCGUAAAGGGCUCGUAGGUGGCCAACUAAGUCAGACGUGAAAUCCCUCGGCUUAACCGGGGAACUGCCUCUGAUACUGGAUGGCUUGAGUUUGGGAGAGGGAUGCGGAAUUCCAGGUGUAGCGGUGAAAUGCGUAGAUAUCUGGAGGAACACCGGUGGCGAAGGCGGCAUCCUGGACCAAUACGUGACGCUGAGGAGCGAAAGCCAGGGGAGCAAAGCGGG